RNAcentral lists this ribosomal RNA (467 nucleotides) under uncultured bacterium. RNAcentral describes it as "bacterial SSU rRNA". It matches the Rfam family "Bacterial small subunit ribosomal RNA", at positions 26 to 507 of the family's 1533-position model. The record is from RNAcentral.
CGAGGACGAACGCUGGCGGCGUGCUUAACACAUGCAAGUCGAGCGAUGAAGCACCUUCGGGUGUGAAUUAGCGGCGAACGGGUGAGGAACACGUGAGAAAUCUGCCUUCAACACUGGGAUAACUCCGGGAAACCGGGGCUAAUACCGGAUAUGAAACCUGCGGGCAUCCGCGGGUUUGGAAAGUUUUUCGGUUGAAGAUGAUCUCGCGGCCUAUCAGCUUGUUGGUGAGGUAAUGGCUCACCAAGGCGACGACGGGUAGCCGGCCUGAGAGGGCGACCGGCCACACUGGGACUGAGACACGGCCCAGACUCCUACGGGAGGCAGCAGUGGGGAAUAUUGGGCAAUGGAGGAAACUCUGACCCAGCGACGCCGCGUGCGGGAUGAAGGCCUUCGGGUUGUAAACCGCUUUCAGCAGGGAAGAAGCGAAAGUGACGGUACCUGCAGAAGAAGCACCGGCUAACUAUGUG